AGCGCAGGCGGGUUGGUGUGUCAGGUGUGAAAUUCCGGGGCUUAACUCCGGCGCUGCGCCUGAAACUACUGAUCUAGAGACUCGGAGGGGUAAGUGGAAUUCCUGGUGGAGCAGUGAAAUGCGUAGAUAUCAGGAGGAACACCAGUGGCGAAGGCGACUUACUGGACUAUUACUGACGCUGAGGUACGAAAGCGUGGGGAGCAAACA
This 207-nucleotide ribosomal RNA is filed under the name uncultured bacterium. RNAcentral describes it as "partial 16S ribosomal RNA". It matches the Rfam family "Bacterial small subunit ribosomal RNA", at positions 568 to 774 of the family's 1533-position model. The record is from RNAcentral.